RNAcentral lists this ribosomal RNA (241 nucleotides) under uncultured Actinomycetales bacterium. RNAcentral's name for it is "partial 16S ribosomal RNA". It matches the Rfam family "Bacterial small subunit ribosomal RNA", at positions 89 to 334 of the family's 1533-position model. The record is from RNAcentral. Lineage: Bacteria; Bacillati; Actinomycetota; Actinomycetes; Actinomycetales.
ACUCGAGUGGCGAACGGGUGAGUAACACGUGGGUGAUCUGCCCUGCACUUCGGGAUAGGCCUGGGAAACUGGGUCUAAUACCGGAUAGGAGCCAUUUUUAGUGUGAUGGUUGGAAAGUUUUUCGGUGUAGGAUGAGCUCGCGGCCUAUCAGCUUGUUGGUGGGGUAAUGGCCUACCAAGGCGGCGACGGGUAGCCGGCCUGAGAGGGUGGACGGCCACAUUGGGACUGAGAUACGGACCAG